CCGUGAUGAUAUAAAACCUUAUAUGUGCUGGAAUUACCGGCAGACUUUUUGCUGUUGAGAUGGUUCUUUCUGAGG
This 75-nucleotide small nucleolar RNA is filed under the name Laticauda laticaudata (blue-ringed sea krait). Lineage: Eukaryota; Metazoa; Chordata; Lepidosauria; Squamata; Elapidae. The record is from RNAcentral.